Molecule: unclassified non-coding RNA, 358 nt
Filed under: plant metagenome
Description: partial contains 5.8S ribosomal RNA, internal transcribed spacer 2, and large subunit ribosomal RNA
Rfam family: 5.8S ribosomal RNA (bases 1-104)
Source: RNAcentral
GAAACGCGAAAGUUAAUGCGAAUUGCAGAAUCAGUGAGUCAUCGAGUUUUUGAACGCACAUUGCGCCUCUCGGUAUUCCGGGAGGCACGCCUGUUCGAGCGCCAUUUCACACCCCAAGCGAUGCUUGAUGUUGGACGAUGUUGGCCUGUCUGUCGACUCCCGUUGGGGGGUGGAGGGAAAGGACCGACACGUCUGGAACGCGUUGGCGCCGCCGCCGGACCACGAGCGUAGCAAGACGAUGAAAAAAGUCAAGUCGCUUGGUUGGAACCGGACGGACGGUGAUUGCUAGGAAGUUGCUUCCAAACGAAUUUGAAUGGUUUGGCCUCGGAUCAGGCGGGGAUACCCGCUGAACUUAAGC